Triticum dicoccoides is the source of this 203-nucleotide long non-coding RNA. RefSeq lists it as uncharacterized. NCBI's taxonomy places the organism in Eukaryota, Viridiplantae, Streptophyta, Magnoliopsida, Poales, Poaceae. The transcript is spliced from 3 exons. The record is from RefSeq and is a predicted model, not a curated record.
AUUGGAAGUUAUGUACAGUCUCGAUACACUAUUUGCAGGUCUAACAUCUGGGAGUUCGAACAAGUUGGAUGAAUUUCUCCAUUCCAGUUUCUCUAUGUUGACCCAAUGCCAAAGUAACCAGUAAAUAACUUACGGCGACAGUACAAUACAUAUAUGUACAGAUCAGAAGAGAUGAAUCGGCUUCCACUGGAUUCUUAGCUGGC